AGACAGUAGGUGUGGCCAUUCAGGUACUACAGUAACAGCCCAGGUUUGUGGGUGCCAGGACCUGCCAGCUCCCGUGCCAAGUGUUAUCUAUCCGUCAGGGCCUGCUGUGAGUGCCUGUUCACGACGUUGCUCUUUCAGGUGGAUCUGUGUACACAGGCUCCGUGGAGGUUCCUCUUCAUGUCAGCCAGGCGCUAGACCCUGGGGCCUCAGAUGUGUUGGUGGAAGGCUGAAACUCUGCAAUGGUGCUUUCAUUACUCGGUGACCCUGAAGAGGCAACACGGCGCCCCCUAGAGGCAUGACUGGCUCCCAGGUAACAGGUGACAUCUAGUUUGGCUGUGUAAACUGGGAGCUUGGGCCUGUUCCAUUGGGAUCCUCUGAGCUGUUACUUGAAGAUGGUGCUGGAAAGUAAUGCUUGUGGGCUUCUUCUAGAUUCAUCCACUGUGUGCACAGCAGCGGGACAGAAUGGAGAGGGAGGUCCCCACACGAAGCCUCACCAGGGCUCGCUGCCCUCUGCGCCGAGUCAUGGGAGAACCCUUCCCUCAGCACAGAGAUGAGGGGAAGCCCUGGGACUGGCAUCUCUUGAGUCCCGACACUGCCCUGGUUGGGGGGUGGGGGAGCUGUGGACAGGGAAGGCUGGCCCUGAGCCUCAAUGCUGCGCCUGGAUGACUUCAGCAACCAGGAGUUUUUCUCUUGAGUUGGCAGCUGCUUGUCAAUCUGCUCUCCACCCAUCCACUCAAUAAACUGUACACAG
This 751-nucleotide long non-coding RNA is filed under the name Sus scrofa (pig). RNAcentral's name for it is "lncRNA (ENSSSCG00050040940.1)". The record is from RNAcentral. Lineage: Eukaryota; Metazoa; Chordata; Mammalia; Artiodactyla; Suidae.